RNAcentral lists this ribosomal RNA (433 nucleotides) under uncultured bacterium. Its description in RNAcentral is "partial 16S ribosomal RNA". It matches the Rfam family "Bacterial small subunit ribosomal RNA", at positions 29 to 507 of the family's 1533-position model. The record is from RNAcentral.
AACGAACGCUGGCGGCAUGCCUAACACAUGCAAGUCGAACGAGACCUUCGGGUCUAGUGGCGCACGGGUGCGUAACGCGUGGGAACCUGCCCUUAGGUUCGGAAUAACUCCCCGAAAGGGGUGCUAAUACCGGAUAAUGUCUUCGGACCAAAGAUUUAUCGCCUUUGGAUGGGCCCGCGUUGGAUUAGCUAGCUGGUAGGGUAAAAACCUACCAAGGCGACGAUCCAUAGCUGGUCUGAGAGGAUGAUCAGCCACACUGGGACUGAGACACGGCCCAGACUCCUACGGGAGGCAGCAGUGGGGAAUAUUGGACAAUGGGCGAAAGCCUGAUCCAGCAAUGCCGCGUGAGUGAUGAAGGCCUUAGGGUUGUAAAGCUCUUUUACCCGGGAUGAUAAUGACAGUACCGGGAGAAUAAGCUCCGGCUAACUCCGUG